GGAGUUCUUUGUUCCCUCCAUUGAGCCUCAAAACCCUACGGGGAAUGUAGAUGUCCGGCGACCGGCGAACUCCACAAACCCGUCUUUCUUCUCCACCCCCUCUACCGGUGAACCCAUCUUUCAUCUCCACCCCGUCGAUCGGCGAACCCCUCUUUCUUCUCCACUCCGUUAACCAGUGAACAUGCCCUCUAACUAGAGCGACCUCUGGUGUCCAACUCAUCGACUUGGUUUCUAGCUCACGUCAGGAAAUUGGUGGAGAAAUUGGUUGAGGAACAAGGUCAAUAGGUUUAAAAUCGGUUACUGGGGUCACGAAAUUGGUAAGUACCAAAUUAUCUUUUAACUAUUGAGAUGAUUUGUUUUGCAUGAGUGAAUUAGUUACUCUGGAUGAAGUAGAUUCAUGGCUUUAA
This 407-nucleotide long non-coding RNA is filed under the name Helianthus annuus (common sunflower). RNAcentral's name for it is "hypothetical non coding rna". The record is from RNAcentral. Lineage: Eukaryota; Viridiplantae; Streptophyta; Magnoliopsida; Asterales; Asteraceae.